GGGGCUUGUGGCAACGGCCCACCGCAGGGUUGGCUGACUUGAGAAGCUGCGAAGAUGGCGGAGUAAGGCGUGCCGCUGUAAACUGGCCUUUGGGCCGGGGGCGGGUAGCCCCCGGGAGGCCGAGUGCAUCUGUUGGACCGUUGAAGGAGAAGAAAAAAAAGAGAUCGGCCAGAGGAAAGGAACUAACCAAACAUUCUUCCUCCCUACCUUACAGAGGGGAGUGGUCAUCUACACUAAAGCAAAGUGUCACGCGCAUCCCUGUGAAGAGACCACCAAACAGGCUUUGUGUUCCUUAUCACAGGAAGAAAAUUUUCCUUGACCUUUAGGUGCUUUUAUAUUCAUCUCAAAAACAAAAUUCUGAACUCAGGACUUGGCAAGCUGGAGUGCAAUGGUGCAAUCUCGGCUCACUGCAUCCGCCGCCUCCCGGGUUCAAGCGAUUCUCCUGCCUCAGCCUCCUGAGUAACUGGGAUUACAGGCGCCUGCCACCACACCCGGCUAAUUUUUAUUUUUUUAGUAGAGAUGGGGUUUCACCAUAUUCGGCAGGCUCGUCUUGAACUCCCGACCUUGUGAUCCACCCACCUUGGCCUCCCAAAAUGCUGAGAUUGGAGGUGUGAACCACCACGCCUGGCCGGUGUCUCUGUGUUGUCUCCUAGAGUGGGUAGUCCUGCUUCUUUUACCCAGUUACUUUCCCUAUUCUUGAAAUGUGGCUAUCACUUCUCUACACAUUACCUCCAUGAUUUGGAAUGGAAAAGGCCACUUUUCUUUUGGUUCUGCCUCUCAAAUUCAACACAGAGGAGCUCCUAGGAUUCCAGUUAUCCUGCCAACAUCUCCAGGAAGAAAGAAGCAACUUGCAUGGGUCUUCUGCUGUUUGCUUACUUAUAAAGACAUCAUUUGCAAGCUGAAGGCUGAGUUUCAUUUGAAACAGGUGCUUAGGUGGUGGUAUUUGUGAAUACUUUUCAUUCCAAGCAAGAAAACUAAAGAAGUAGCAAGUAUGGAUGCUUCAGGGUUUUAAAAAAAUGUCUUCCAGUUUCAGCCACUACCAUGAUGAGCACAGUUGAGACUGCAGCAGUAAAUUCCAAAUAUGUCUUUCUAAUUUGACGUGAAAGAUACUAAAAAUUUAUGUUUGUAUAUUUAAAUCCUGGCUCAUCCUGUGACAUAGAUUUACUGAAUAAGAACAAAGACCCAAUUUUAAACAAAAACCUAGGCCAGGUUCGGUGGCUCACGCCUGUAAUCCCAACACUUUGGGAGGCCGAAGCAGGCGAAUCACUUGAGGUUGGGAGUUCAAGACCAGCCUGACCAACAUGGAGAAACCCCAUCUGUACUAAAUAUAGAAAAUUAGCCGGGUGUGGUGGUGCAUGCCUAUAAUCCCAGCUACUCGGGAGGCUGAAACAGGAGAAUCACUUGAACCCGGGAGACAGGGUUCGCAGUGAACCGAGAUUGCACCACUGCACUCCAGCCUGGGCAACAGAGUGAGACUCCAUCUCAGAAAAAAAAAAAAAACUUUGGACAUAGAGGAGUCGGGGUCAGAGAGGGGAGGAUGAGAGAAUUUCCCAUAUAACUCCUUUUCCUUAAGAAAAAGAAGCAAAAAUGCCUCAUGCAGUGCCAUCUGACUCUAUGGUGUUUCACAUUAUAUAGUUACAUUGUUUUGUAAACGCAUAAGAUUAACUCUUCCUGCAACCCAAGGUGGAUACUUGGAUGUUUGAUUUUUUUUUUUUUUUUUUUUGAGGCAGAGUCUCGCUCUGUUACCCAGGCUGGAGUGACUGGCGUGAUCUCUGCUCACUGCAGUCUGUCCCACCUGGGUUCAAGCGAUUCUCCUGCCUCGGCCUCCCAAGUAGCUAGGAUUAUAGGCGCACACCACCACUCCCAGCCUGAUUUCUUACUCUAGAUAUUAGGUAUAUUGUUAGGCUGAAAAGGCUGGGACUCAGGUACUUUCCCCAGUUGGGACUGAACUUUCUCAUCAGAGAAUGGGCCUCAGAAGCAAUGUUCCCAAACUUGUGGUUGGGUCAUCGUGGAAAAGAAACCUCAAAACAAGAAAAAAAAUUACAAUAAGAAAUGGAUUUUCUUUUUUCCCACAACAGUUAUACAUUAUAAAGAACAGACUGUCGUAGAAAACUGUCCUUGCUUCCAAAUCAGCAGAGGACCAUUGUAUGUAUUGUCAGGUCUUUAUAUAUAAAGAGUGAAACCUUUAUUUAUGCUUCUUUGUGAGUAGAGAAUAAAUUUUAAAACUAAUUAGAUGAAAUUAAGAACAGAGAGUAUUGGAACAUCUCUGUGUUUUCCAGAAUGUUCACUCAGGUCCAUGAAUGCUGUGAUGCUGGGAAGUUAGGGAAGAUUCACCAAAAUUUGAGAGUGAUAAAAAUGGACAAAAUGGGAAAUGUUGAGCACUCUUACUAUUAGUGAGAUUGGUCAAUCAACCCAUUUGAAAUGGGUAAAAAUUACUUUUAGUAAAAUAAUUACAUAUUAUAUAUAAAAUAUUUCUUUUUUUGAGACCUACUGAGUGAGUGAUAAAAGCAUAGUAGAAAUCACUUUGGUUAAAAGUAACUCAAAAUUUUCUCUAAGCUACCUACUCAAGUUUUUCUUUAAUAUUUUGAAAUUGUUCAAGACAGAAUGGAGCCUACAUAUAUGGGUUCCACUAGUAUGUUGAAAAUGUCAUAUCAUGGAGAAUUUGUACCUUCCAGCUGUCUGUUAACCCAUCUUCUCUGUACUUCUGGCACCGUUUUUGGUAGGAUCAUUUGGCAGGGGUAGAGUACCUGUACUUUUGGCACCAUUGAAACCAGCUCUGGCCCACUUGUUUGAAUAGCUAUCAGACUCAGUGUCUCUAUAUGUUUUAUAUUUUUUUCAUUCCACAGUGGAGAGAACCAGUGUUUAAUGCUCUUGAAAUUGUUUCUGUAUCUUCCAUGGUUCAGACCAGAUGCAUUUAACAAAAUGGAUAUAUUCCAGCUGUAGUUGUCCAGUGUUUACUUAAUACAUCUACAUUUUUUUCUUGUCUAUUUUGGUCCCCUUGAUAGGAAGAGCUAUAAUUUUAGGCAGGACGAUACAUGAAUUUGUAGCCAUGCUUCCUUCCUUUCCCUUGCUCUUCCAUGUUAGCUGGCAUUUUUUCUUUUGAAAAGUUAAACAACGGGGUAUGUGCAAUAGAAAUAUAUAUAUAUAUAUAUGUAUAUUUUAAUACUUGUGGACAAUGUUACAAGUUGUUUAAGAACAACAAAAUCACCAAUGUCUUCCAUUUUGAGAUGUGUAUAGUUUUGUAAGCAUUAGUGCUUGGUAGCAUAUUGUAGUGCCAUGUUAGGGGUUAGUGCAUGAGCCUAGUGAUUUUAAGCUUCAGGAUGAAUUAUUGAUAAUAACAAAUAGUGUAAAAAGAGUGGAAAAUCCAAACCUUUUCUUUUUCCAUAAUGUCUAAAUCUGUUAUAUUCUCCCUGGGGAAAAGAGAUUAAGGCCCAAAAGACUCAUUUAUGAAUAGAAAUGUGGGGUCAAAAUCUGAGAUACUAUGAGGACAUUUCAGCUUUCCAUAAGGUAUCUGGAAACCAGCUGUCUUUGUGUCUUACGAAACCUCAAGUCAAAAUCAGACCCCAUUUAAUUAUUCUGCUUUGCUCUUUUUUGGGGGGUUAUGGGGGGAGAUAGAGUCUCACUCUGUCACCAGGCUGGAGUGCAGUGGCACAAUCUCGGCUCACUGCAACCUCUGCCUCUUGGGUUCAAGUGAUUCUCGUGCCUCAGCCUCCUGAGUAGCUGGGACUACAGGCACGCGCCACCACGCCCAGCCAAUUUUUGUAUUUUUAGUAGAGACGGGGUUUUGCCGUGUUGGCCAGGCUGGUCUCAAACUCCUGACCUCAAGUAAUCCACCCGGCCUGCUCUUUUCAUGUCUUAACAUGGCAUGUCUUUUAGGUUCAUUGUUUUCCUACUCCCUGUAUGUCAAAAAAUUACAUUUUGCAUGUCUUGUGGAGAUGCUGUUACUUGCUUUAGUGAGUGCUUUUCUAAUCUGCAGACCAUUUACAUUUCCUAUUUGCAGCAUGCUGUGUGCAAACACUCCGUAAUUUGGAGUAUUCAAUUAUUUGUUAGGGCUCUUCCUAUUUCCAAAUGUGCUGAAUUGUCUGUUGAUGGGAUUUUCAGACCUUUUCAUGAGAACUGGAAAUGUAGCUGGGUGGCACCUACCUAGGUUGCUAUGUAAUAAGUAGACUCUUUCUCUUGGGUAUAGUAAGCCUUAGACAGCUUUCACUUUUAUCUGCUUUACUUGUGGAAAUAAAACAGUUGUUUUGUUCUGAAAUAAGAAGAUAGCUUUCUGUAGAGAAGGAAUUCCUACCUCUAAAAGCUGCCUUGAAAACUCAGAAGUGGCAGUUUUCUGAGGUGAUUUUUUCAAUUUCAGUAUUAGGGAGAGUCUAGCAUUUGCUGAUACAGAUUCUACAUAACUAAUGUAUGAUAGCAAAUGCAAAACUAUUAUAAUGUGGUAUAUCUUGUGCAGACACAGGUUAGAACAAGUAGACUCUGGCAGCAGAUCUCCAGAGACCCAAGUUUAGAUUCUCAUCGUGUAUCUGAAGUAGUUACACUCUUGACUUAAGUAGUUUAGUGCCUGGAAGAAUCCAUUACUGAAAAGCAUUUAAAUUAAAAAAAAAAAAAAACAAAAAAACUGAAAAGGUAAUGAAUACAGAAUAGCACAGUAUAUAGGAAAGGAUAUUUCCUGUUGCAAAAAAAAAAAAAAAAAAAAAAA
Molecule: long non-coding RNA, 4696 nt
Organism: Chlorocebus sabaeus (green monkey)
Lineage: Eukaryota; Metazoa; Chordata; Mammalia; Primates; Cercopithecidae
Source: RefSeq, a predicted model, not a curated record